Small nuclear RNA from Phodopus roborovskii (desert hamster), 103 nucleotides. NCBI's taxonomy places the organism in Eukaryota, Metazoa, Chordata, Mammalia, Rodentia, Cricetidae. The record is from RefSeq and is a predicted model, not a curated record.
UUGCUUUUGCAGCACACAUACUAAAACUGGAAUGACACGAAGAUGAUUAGCAUGGACCCAAUGUAAAAAUGACAUGCAAAUUCAUGAACCAUUUCAUACUUUU